UUAAAGCGCAGUGCGCAUGCGCUUCCUUCACUACACGCUCAGCUGCUGUGUGUGUGUGAGAGAGAGAAAAAGAAUGGGUCGAGGUGGCAGCUAAAGAACUGAAACACAUACUCUGACGCGUUAAAUCCUGCUCUGUUAAAACCGAGAUCACUUCACGAACCUUUUAAACAACCCGGAAUCACCAGACCGGAAGUGAGGAUCUCUGUGGAAACUGGGACACAGCGGAUCACAGGAUGUGUGAAAUGUAACCCGAACUCCAAGACAGCAUUUGCACCACCGGGACACUUGAACUCUCACCCCCUGCCAGAAUGCCCUGAUAUUAGAAGAUACGGCCAGGCAUGCCAUUUGGUCUCUGUGGUUUCCUCACUACUUAGCCAGUUGCAUCAAAAUUCGCAGUGGGGUGGGUAGAUGUCUUUGAUAGUGACUUGUAUGUAUACAUUUGUGUUUGACUCCAGUGGUGACAGGAAAAACUUGUCCAGUCCAAUGUCUUUAAUGCUACCACUGUGAGGUGCACUGUAUUUUGACAUCUGCGGUGACAAUAUAGGAUCCUUGUUGCCUAAUUCUAAGUCAUUUCUCUCUUGCUUUGUGCAG
Ictalurus punctatus (channel catfish) is the source of this 591-nucleotide long non-coding RNA. NCBI's taxonomy places the organism in Eukaryota, Metazoa, Chordata, Actinopteri, Siluriformes, Ictaluridae. The record is from Ensembl.